Molecule: long non-coding RNA, 1194 nt
Filed under: Marmota monax (woodchuck)
Lineage: Eukaryota; Metazoa; Chordata; Mammalia; Rodentia; Sciuridae
Source: RNAcentral
CUUGAACUCACUUGACUCUUAGUUUAACCCCUGAUAUCCACUGAAUGGAUUCCCGUACUAAUGUCACCAAUUAUCUAUAUUUUGCUAAGCGCCAUAGGCCAUUCUCAGGCCUCAUCAUAUUUUACCUAUCAACAGCUUUUGACAUUGUCUAUUACUCUAUACUUGAAACUUCCCCCACUUGGUUUCUGAGAUACCUCAAACUCUGAAAUUUCCUCUUACUUCUUUGGCCUCUUCUUGGUCUCCCUUCCUCGCACCUCCUUAUCUAUUUAGCCUCUGGAUAUUUGAGGACACUAGUCUAUGGCCCUCUUUUCGUUAUCUCAUCUACACUAUACCAUAGGUGACUUUAGUUGAUUCUAUGGUUUUAAAUACUUUCUUCGGAUGACUCCCCAGAUUUUAUCUAUAUCUCUGGAGUCAAGUAUCCAACUGCUUACUUAUCUUCUCCUCUUGGAUAUUAGUUAGGCAGCUCAAAUUUAACCAUCCAAAACUUAACUCUUAACUAUCAUCCCUAGACCCCUUAAACAAUUAUCUCAUUGCCCAUGGCAAAAAUAGAGGCAUCAUUUUGUGAUACUCUACACUCAAUUCACCAGUAAAUUCUAUGAGCAUCUUCGCCGCUAUCAACCUGGUCCGAGUCACUGUUUGCUCUAGUCUGGGUUAUUCUGUCUAUUUUUUUCUUCCAUCCAUAUGAUAGUUUUUUUUUUAAUUGCUUUUAUUUUUUAAAUACAUACAAUAGUUUUUAAAAUGUAAUUUUCAUCAUAUCACUCUGCUUACAACUGUCUAAUCACUUCCCAUUUCACUAAAAAUAGAUGGUAAAUUCAUUACCUCUGCCUAUACUUGUGAAAUUAUCUUCUAACCUUUUCUAUUUCCUAUCCUACUGGUCUUGCUAUUCCAGGAACUACUAAAAUGAUUUCUGCUUUAGGGUUUAAAAGAGUGCUUUUUCUUCUACCUGGAAGAUUCUUUCCCUAAUCCAUUCCCUCAUUGAGGUCUUUCAUGUCACUCUUACAGAGAGGCAUUCCCUACCCAGCCUUUCUAAAAUUAACCUCCAUCACCCUCUUCCUUGUUAUCCUCUUAUUUACCUUUACACAACUUAUCUAAUAUGUUUAUUGUCUGUCUCCCACACCAGAAAUGAGGGUAGGUACUCUGUUUUGUUCACUGCUUGUAGGCCCAGGACCUAUGACAGGGCUUGGUAUAUAGUAG